GUCCCGUUCAACAGGAGUUUACGACCCGAAGAUCUUCGUCCUCCACGCGGCGUUGCGUCGUCAGGCUUGCGGGCAAUGCGAACAAUUCCCCACUGCUGCCUCCCGUAGGAGUCUGGGCCGUGUCUCAGUCCCAGUGUGUCCGUCCGCCCUCUCAGGCCGGAUACUGAUCGUAGCCUUGGUGAGCCAUUACGCC
RNAcentral lists this ribosomal RNA (193 nucleotides) under uncultured bacterium. RNAcentral describes it as "partial 16S ribosomal RNA". The record is from RNAcentral.